This 410-nucleotide long non-coding RNA is filed under the name Elaeis guineensis (African oil palm). Its description in RNAcentral is "long non-coding RNA (EGUI_LNC049928)". The record is from RNAcentral. Lineage: Eukaryota; Viridiplantae; Streptophyta; Magnoliopsida; Arecales; Arecaceae.
UCCUUCUUGGCCUUAGGCGUUCUUCGAGUCAUCCCCAUCUUUGCAUCUCUGCAUCCCUCAUACCAGCCUAGGUUAGCUCCAGAACUUUCUUUAUUUUCGCGGCUCUGUUUAUAGACUGUGUUGAUCCUCCUUCGUUGCAGAUAUGGAUGCGGAUGCGGAUCGGAUGUUAGCCAAGAAUCUCAAAGCCCACAAGAGGGAAGGCGCUGCAACUUUUGGGUCGGCGAAGAAGGCGAGGGUAGAAGAGACAGAUCCGGUCGUGUUUUGCCUUGAUCGCCCAGAGCCCAUGCUUGUGGCACAUCUUCGACCGUGAGUGCUUUCCAGUCCUACGGAAGGGGCAAGCCGAAAGGGGACUGGAAGAAGAAGUCAGAAAAGAGGGGAAACCUAAUCUCAGAAAGAAGGUCAUGCCCACC